Molecule: ribosomal RNA, 608 nt
Filed under: uncultured Thielavia
Lineage: Eukaryota; Fungi; Ascomycota; Sordariomycetes; Sordariales; Chaetomiaceae
Description: eukaryotic LSU rRNA
Rfam family: 5.8S ribosomal RNA (bases 240-393)
Source: RNAcentral
CUUGGUCAUUUAGAGGAAGUAAAAGUCGUAACAAGGUCUCCGUUGGUGAACCAGCGGAGGGAUCAUUACAGAGUUGCAAAACUCCCUAAACCAUUGUAAACGUUACCUUCAAACCGUUGCUUCGGCGGGCGGCCCGGGUCCGCCCGGUGCCCCCUGGCCCCCUAGCGGGGCGCCCGCCGGAGGAAACCCAACUCUUGAUUAUUAUGGCCUCUCUGAGUCUUCUGUACUGAAUAAGUCAAAACUUUCAACAACGGAUCUCUUGGUUCUGGCAUCGAUGAAGAACGCAGCGAAAUGCGAUAAGUAAUGUGAAUUGCAGAAUUCAGUGAAUCAUCGAAUCUUUGAACGCACAUUGCGCCCGCCAGUAUUCUGGCGGGCAUGCCUGUUCGAGCGUCAUUUCAACCAUCAAGCCCCAGGCUUGUGUUGGGGACCUGCGGCUGCCGCAGGCCCUGAAAACCAGUGGCGGGCUCGCUGUCACACCGGGCGUAGUAGAUUUUAUCUCGCUCAGGGCGUGCUGCGGGUUCCGGCCGUUAAAAGCCUUUUUUACCCAAGGUUGACCUCGGAUCAGGUAGGAAUACCCGCUGAACUUAAGCAUAUCAAUAAGCGGAGGA